This 498-nucleotide ribosomal RNA is filed under the name uncultured bacterium. RNAcentral describes it as "partial 16S ribosomal RNA". It matches the Rfam family "Bacterial small subunit ribosomal RNA", at positions 30 to 523 of the family's 1533-position model. The record is from RNAcentral.
AUUGAACGCUGGCGGCAUGCUUUACACAUGCAAGUCGAACGGCAGCGCGGGGCAACCUGGCGGCGAGUGGCGAACGGGUGAGUAAUACAUCGGAACGUACCCAGAAGUGGGGGAUAACGUAGCGAAAGUUACGCUAAUACCGCAUACGUUCUACGGAAGAGAGUGGGGGACCUUCGGGCCUCAUGCUUUUGGAGCGGCCGAUGUCUGAUUAGCUAGUUGGUAGGGUAAAGGCCUACCAAGGCGACGAUCAGUAGCUGGUCUGAGAGGACGACCAGCCACACUGGGACUGAGAGACGGCCCAGACUCCUACGGGAGGCAGCAGUGGGGAAUUUUGGACAAUGGGCGCAAGCCUGAUCCAGCAAUGCCGCGUGAGUGAAGAAGGCCUUCGGGUUGUAAAGCUCUUUUGUCAGGGAAGAAACGGCUGAGGUUAAUACCUUCGGCUAAUGACGGUACCUGAAGAAUAAGCACCGGCUAACUACGUGCCAGCCGCCGCCGUAA